RNAcentral lists this long non-coding RNA (5837 nucleotides) under Olea europaea (common olive). RNAcentral's name for it is "long non-coding RNA (OEUR_LNC008240)". Lineage: Eukaryota; Viridiplantae; Streptophyta; Magnoliopsida; Lamiales; Oleaceae. The record is from RNAcentral.
UCUUAUCACCCCAUCCAUCCUUUUAUCCAUUUUGUCCAAGUCACAAUUAGCAUCCACUCCCAAAACCAUUGCUUGCCAUUACUGCUGCCCGUACCACCACUUCCACCAUCGUUGCCCGCAACCUCCCCAUUUCGCAUCCACCCUAGUUGUAGAAAACGUAACCCUAAUCCUAACCCCAAACCCAUUUGUCGCCCCGCAACCUCCCAAUUCCACAUCCACCCUAGUUGUAGAAACCAUAACCCUAAUCCUAACCCCAUACCCAUUUUUCACAUCAAUUGAACGGUUUUAUGAUUUGCUCGGCCUCCAAUUUGUAUUGUGAGGUCGAUUGAAGGCACGGAGGGAGACAACGACAUGAUCGCGUCACCGGUGCAGUCCAUUUCACGUAAUUAAGUGAUGGAAGGAAACUUUGAAUGGGGCGACGGUGUGAGGGUUUCCAUUUAGGGUCCUCGCGAACUGAAUGGAUUUAGGAUCUAUUGGGCCCCAGUAUGUAGCGUGAGGCUGGUCGAAGACAGGAAGGGAGAAUGGGAGAUGAUGGCAUGAUUCAGCCGUCGAUAUAAUCCAUUUUCGAUAGUUUGGAAGGAAGCUUUUGCGUGGGUUAGGGAUGAUGUGGGAUGGGUGUGAUGUUGGUUUGUGAUUAAUUAAUUUGAUAAUUUGUAAUCAACAAAUAAUUGUGCCUUAAAUAAAACACACUUACAACUAAAUUUGCUAUUGUGACCUAUAAAUUGUAUCUUUAUAACUAUGAAGUUGGACAAUUUGUGAUUAAUACCUUAUCGUGAUUAUAAAUUAUGCAUUAUUGUGACCUUGACCCGUUCAAUUAAUUAUAAGUCACAAAAUUGUAUUUUUGAACUUUUUCGCAAGUUUCUUAUUUUUGAAAGUGUGGAAUUAAACCUUUGUAGUUAAUUUUUUUUUCAAAUUAUUUAGAUAUGUGAACUUAGAUCUUUAUGUAACAAAAAUUGUUUAAAUAAACAAUGAAAUUGAAUGCAACUUUUAUAUGACAUAAAAUUAGAUGUUAAGUCGUGACGAUUCGCCGUGUGACUCUAGAUUAAAUGAAAAUUACGUUUAAUAAACAUCCACAAUGAUAGUUUUCAUCACUUAAGGCCUCAUAUUUACAUGUGUAAAUGGGUUGGGGGAAUCGAACCUCAUUUUUGAAUAUUAGUAAAAAUUAUUUUCAUUAACUUAAAAAAGUCCACUCCUUUUUUUGUUGAACUUGGGGGUUAUUUUGGGUGUAUUGUUUUAAUUAUCUAAUCUAAUUUGUAUUAUUUGAGUACUCGAUAAGGUUAGUCCCGACUGAUUAGCCAAGCCCUUGCUUAUGUUCUUUGAUAGAGAACUUACACCUUACCCCUUAUAGUCGCUAAUUUCAUAAAAGAACAAUUUGUAUUCUGUCAACAAAAUGUGCUUAACACAACCUAUAACGUAAAUGCAUUUGAAACUCUUCUAAACUAUGUUUUUGAGCUAACAAAAUCAGACUUCAUUAACGAGGGUCUCUCUCUCAAAAAAAAAAAAUAAUAAAUAAAUAAAUUGACUGUUAAUUUUACAUUUUUCUUUCUUAUUUUUGAAUUGAAUAGCAUUUGAUUAUGCAUAAUUCUUAUGAUCUGGCUAAUAUUUAAAGUUAUUAUUCUUGUUCAAUGCUAUGCCAUUAUUUCCAAAAAUUUGAAAUCCAUGUUCAGUGUCAACAUUAAAUGUCAUACCAAAAUAACGCUCACAGCAGUAAAUGUGAAAAUGACAAAACUGAAAAAUCCAAAAUCAAUUAUAAGUUUUUUAUUACUUCUACAAAAAGAGUCUGACAAUAUGCUGGGAAAUUUAUAAUUUAUAAAUAUUUUAAUGUUUAAUUAAUCAUUACUUAAUUAAUGGUAAUACAGUGGUGCUGAUGCAAAACUUGUCAUCAAAGCUAUCACACCUUGCAGAAUUUCACACGCUUGCGUAGCAUCUAGGUAUCUAUGUAAUAUUCUCUUUAAUCAAAUUUUUUGACAUUCAGUUAAAAAUUUCAAAAUAUUCACAAGUUAUAGAAUUGACCUCCCCACUUUAAUGAACUUCUUCUUAUGCAUGACGUGAAAAGAGAACUAUAGUUAUAAUUCUUUAAACUUAUAAUCGUUUUAUAUAACCAUCAUUAAGGGUUUCUUACCACGCCAACGAUUGGAAGUUAAACCUUGAUUACUUGUCCAUAUUCUUUGUGUGAGAAAAUGAGUAAAAGGAAAAGGACACAUUGUAGAAAGAGCAUACCAUAAUUUGGAGGGGUUUUGUUAUUUGUAUAGCUCCCUCACAAUAGGGAGGGUAUGCGCCCAAAAAUUAAAAUUAGAGUUUUACUAUAUUUUGAUAAAAGUUAAUGAAUUGUGUGAUUAAAAUGCUGUGAAUUCCAUAAAACAUGUUAUUGAAAUUAAUUGCUAAUUUUAAUUUUAAUUAAGAUCUUGAUUUUAGUCCUACCAAACAUGGGCAAAAUGUAAAAGUAAUGACAUUGCAAUUCUAAAUAUGAUAAUUUUCACGAAUAAAAAUAUUGACUUGAUACUUGAUGAAGAGUAUAAAAGUCAAGUUCGUUCUUAAUAUCUACAUUAUCCCUCGUUUUUUUGCAAUGUACAUGCCUAAUAAAAAUUCUAAUUGCUCCAAUCUCCUAAUUGAAAAGAAUUAUACUAUGUGUACAACACCUGCUCUACACUCAUUUUAACAGCCUACUCACAUGAGUGGGCCCCUACGAUUAUUUUAAUCACUGGAUCCACUUGUGUGAUGUGAGAGGGUUGUUAAAGAUAGUGUAAAAAUGAGUGUACUUGUAGCAUAAUUCAAUUGAAAACCCCAAAAUCUUUUGGAGAAUAAUAAUAAAAAAAAAAAAAACUCUAAUUGUGCUUGUCCAAGAGAGCCCGAUCCAAAAAAGUGUGGUUCUCAAAAUGAGCAUAUGCUUGUUUACUUGAUCCAACUGCCCAAUGUUGAUAAUGGUAGCCAACAAUUAGAAGAAGACAGACUAAGUUACGAUCCAAAGUAAUCUUAACAUCUUGGCAGCAUGGGGACAGUGACAGAUCUAGGAUUCUUGAUCACUGAGGCGAUCGUGGAUCGUCGACCGUCCACCAUCCAUCGUCAUUUUCUACUUUUCAUUCAACCAAAGAACGGGUUACUAGAUGCAAUUUCUAAGUGCUUCUGCGUAUGUCCAAAAGACAAACUUAGCCAUCUUUCUUCCAUGAACAAUGUAUGAAGAAGCAUACUACAAAGUGCAAAAGUUAAGUGCAUUUUGGUUUAGGAAAAGAAUAUAACAAGAAACCAAGGGUAAAAUCCAAAUCGUUUUUACAGCUCUAAGCAUUGAAUUAUUAUCCCUCUACAAACAUUUCCAAAGGCAUAAAGCUUAAGAAGAUGUGAUCAGAUAAAAAUAGAAUCUUCAGACAAACAUAAGAGCCUGUUCAAUAACAUAAUUCAGCACUAUCUAUUAGUCUACCACCAUAAUUUGAAAAGAAAUUAACAAUUGCACGAGAACAACAAAAAGGACUCAGAAUUUAGCCCAAAAGGCUCAAAUCAUUUAAAGUCUCAUUCAAUAAUUAUAAUUCGUGAGAGCACAAAAACAACAAUACUCCAAAAGAAAAUUUCCAAUAAAGCAAAAAUACACACAUGUACAACAAAACAUCAUCAGUGCUAAGUCAUAAAAACCUUGUAUAAAGACAAUAAACUAACUAUCAUACGCCUACAUAUAAAUUUACACUCGUAAGUCAUAAAUCAUAACUCAUAACUCACACUUUCAUAGUUAUAACAUAGAUCAUAAAUAUAUAAAAAAAAAAUUGGAGUCUAAAAAAAAAAAAACCAAAAAUUGAAAAAAGAAGAGGCAGUUGACUGAGACUCACGAAGAGAAAGACGAAAAUAUAGUGGGUCAGCGGCGGAGAUCAAAGAAGCUCGAAGGCGACUCGGCGCAGCCUAUAACGGGUCUUAAGGCGCGGUAGGGAGGAAAUGAGAUAGGGUUUGGAAUUGCGACUUGUUCUCUCAUUUCGCAAUUGAAUUAACUGUUACAAUUACACAAUAUAUACCUAGCAGCUGCAUCCAACAUUUUGGGCCUACGUUUUUUGAAAAAAUGAAAGGAAAGAGAGGUGCAUCAGAAGAAAAGGCCCAGAAUUAAAAAAUAACUAUAAUCUUCCAAAUUCCUCGAUUCCUCCAUUCAUGGCGCCUAAACUUCAAUCUUCACAAUUUCUCCUUAGCUUCAAUGUCAAUUGUAAAUUUCAUGGAGCCAACAUGCGUGGCCACGCCUCCUCGCCAGGUGUUGGAUCUGCAACUGUAUAGGGAUCAAAAUGCUUCAAGGUAACUACAGCAUAAAAAGUUACUUUUUUCUAAUAUUAAAAUUGCUUAUAAUUUAUUUUGGGCUUAAUUACAUGGGUAUAAAAAAUUGAUCAAGGUUGUCAAUACAGUACAAUAUGUGUAUUUGAAUUUCAUUAUAAGUAACUUACAAAAAGAUUAUAAUAAAAUUGAACACACUGAUUUUUUUAUUUUUUAUUUUUUCCUAAUAGACUUCUAAUGAGUACAAUUUAGGUUAACCUCAAUCAUAAUGAUCUCAACCCGAGGAGAUAAUGAUCCUCGAGGUGCCUCAUUGGACCAAAGCAUCAAUGGUGUCCAUGAGAUUGAGAUCAUGUACCCCAUGACAUCCUUAAAUGAUUUCGACCCCUUAUUGCGCUCGCUCGCUCGCUCUCUCUCUCUCUCUCUCCAUUUUGAGGUCUGUAAAUUGUGACAGUAGGCAAAUCACCCGACUUAUUUAGUAGUUAUUUAAAUUAUAUUCCUUUUAAGUUAUAUUCAUGAGCUUGCACGGCCCACUUUUCUUCAUUCAAUUUUUGGGUCUGCACACCCAUUAUUACUUUGUGAAGUUGAAUAAGUAAUGACUUAUAGAUUGUCUUGAACAUAUCACGAGGAAAAAUGUAAUCCAUUGGUCUUGUACUUGCUAGAGUAUACUCCCCUAAUAAUGUCAAGUGUUCAUCCUAUGAAGCAUAUAAAAACAAAUUUGCUACACAAGUGCGUCGAGCUUUGCCCCGAGUAGUCACCUCAAGCUUGAAUAUAUCUAAAGGGGUGUAUUUAAUUCAAACUUUUAAUGAUUUUUUGAAAUUUAAAAAGUUUUGGAGUAUUCAAUUGAGAUUUUUUGAGACUCUCUAAAAGUCACGAUGUAUUCAAUUGAAACUUUUAUAGACUUUUAAAAAGUCUUUAAAGUUACAGUAUAAUCAAUUAAGCUCCCAUUUGACCUCCAUUAGAUUACAUUCCACCAUCGUUGCCCGCAACCUCCCCAUUUCGCAUCCACCCUAGUUGUAGAAAACGUAACCCUAAUCCUAACCCCAAACCCAUUUGUCGCCCCGCAACCUCCCAAUUCCACAUCCACCCUAGUUGUAGAAACCAUAACCCUAAUCCUAACCCCAUACCCAUUUUUCACAUCAAUUGAACGGUUUUAUGAUUUGCUCGGCCCCCAAUUUGUAUUGUGAGGUCGAUUGAAGGCACGGAGGGAGACAACGACAUGAUCGCGUCACCGGUGCAGUCCAUUUCACGUAAUUAAGUGAUGGAAGGAAACUUUGAAUGGGGCGACGGUGUGAGGGUCCUCGCGAACUGAAUGGAUUUAGGAUCUAUUGGGCCCCAGUAUGUAGCGUGAGGCUGGUCGAAGACAGGAAGGGAGAAUGGGAGAUGAUGGCAUGAUUCAGCCGUCGAUAUAAUCCAUUUUCGAUGGUUUGGAAGGAAGCUUUUGCGUGGGUUAGGGAUGAUGUGGGAUGGGUGUGAUGUUGGUUUGUGAUUAAUUAAUUUGAUAAUUUGUAAUCAACAAAUAAUUUGUGCCUUAAAUAAAACACACUUACAACUAAAUUUGCUAUUGUGACCUAUAAAUUGUAUCUUUAUAACUAUGAAGU